GACGAACGCUGGCGGCGUGCUUAACACAUGCAAGUCGAACGGUGAAGCUCCAGCUUGCUGGAGUGGAUCAGUGGCGAACGGGUGAGUAACACGUGAGCAACCUGCCCCUGACUCUGGAAUAAGCGCUGGAAACGGCGUCUAAUACUGGAUACGAGAAGGGUCCGCAUGGGCACUUUCUGGAAGGUUUUUCGGUUGGGGAUGGGCUCGCGGCCUAUCAGCUUGUUGGUGAGGUAAUGGCUCACCAAGGCGACGACGGGUAGCCGGCCUGAGAGGGCGACCGGCCACACUGGGACUGAGACACGGCCCAGACUCCUACGGGAGGCAGCAGUGGGGAAUAUUGCACAAUGGGCGAAAGCCUGAUGCAGCGACGCCGCGUGAGGGAUGACGGCCUUCGGGUUGUAAACCUCUUUCAGCAGGGAAGAAGCGAAAGUGACGGUACCUGCAGAAGAAGCGCCGGCUAACUACGUG
This 468-nucleotide ribosomal RNA is filed under the name uncultured bacterium. Its description in RNAcentral is "partial 16S ribosomal RNA". It matches the Rfam family "Bacterial small subunit ribosomal RNA", at positions 28 to 507 of the family's 1533-position model. The record is from RNAcentral.